GGGUUGCUAGCUCAGUCGGUAGAGCAACGGACUCUUAAUCCGUAGGUCGGGGGUUCGAUCCCCCCGCAACCCA
Non-coding RNA from Hydrogenobaculum sp. Y04AAS1, 73 nucleotides. Lineage: Bacteria; Pseudomonadati; Aquificota; Aquificia; Aquificales; Aquificaceae. The record is from Rfam.